Molecule: transfer RNA, 74 nt
Filed under: Helobdella robusta
Lineage: Eukaryota; Metazoa; Annelida; Clitellata; Rhynchobdellida; Glossiphoniidae
Rfam family: tRNA
About the family: Transfer RNA (tRNA) molecules are approximately 80 nucleotides in length. Their secondary structure includes four short double-helical elements and three loops (D, anti-codon, and T loops).
Source: Rfam by way of RNAcentral
GUAUGGGUGGCUUAGUUGGUUAAAGCGCCUGCCUAGUAAGCAGGAGAUCGUGGGUUCGAAUGUUGUUUCAAAUA